This 513-nucleotide ribosomal RNA is filed under the name uncultured bacterium. RNAcentral describes it as "partial 16S ribosomal RNA". It matches the Rfam family "Bacterial small subunit ribosomal RNA", at positions 28 to 523 of the family's 1533-position model. The record is from RNAcentral.
GAUGAACGCUGGCGGCGUGCCUAAUACAUGCAAGUCGAACGCACAGCGAAAGGUGCUUGCACCUUUCAAGUGAGUGGCGAACGGGUGAGUAACACGUGGACAACCUGCCUCAAGGCUGGGGAUAACAUUUGGAAACAGAUGCUAAUACCGAAUAAAACUCAGUGUCGCAUGACACAAAGUUAAAAGGCGCUUUGGCGUCACCUAGAGAUGGAUCCGCGGUGCAUUAGUUAGUUGGUGGGGUAAAGGCCUACCAAGACAAUGAUGCAUAGCCGAGUUGAGAGACUGAUCGGCCACAUUGGGACUGAGACACGGCCCAAACUCCUACGGGAGGCUGCAGUAGGGAAUCUUCCACAAUGGGCGAAAGCCUGAUGGAGCAACGCCGCGUGUGUGAUGAAGGCUUUCGGGUCGUAAAGCACUGUUGUAUGGGAAGAACAGCUAGAAUAGGGAAUGAUUUUAGUUUGACGGUACCAUACCAGAAAGGGACGGCUAAAUACGUGCCAGCCGCCGCGGUAA